RNAcentral lists this ribosomal RNA (806 nucleotides) under Rathayibacter sp. RNAcentral describes it as "bacterial SSU rRNA". It matches the Rfam family "Bacterial small subunit ribosomal RNA", at positions 67 to 883 of the family's 1533-position model. Lineage: Bacteria; Bacillati; Actinomycetota; Actinomycetes; Micrococcales; Microbacteriaceae. The record is from RNAcentral.
CGGUGAUGCAGAGCUUGCUCUGCUGAUCAGUGGCGAACGGGUGAGUAACACGUGAGUAACCUGCCCUUGACUCUGGGAUAAGCGCUGGAAACGGCGUCUAAUACCGGAUACGACCUUCCCCGGCAUCGGGUGGGGGUGGAAAGAUUUUUCGGUCAAGGAUGGACUCGCGGCCUAUCAGCUUGUUGGUGAGGUAAUGGCUCACCAAGGCGACGACGGGUAGCCGGCCUGAGAGGGUGACCGGCCACACUGGGACUGAGACACGGCCCAGACUCCUACGGGAGGCAGCAGUGGGGAAUAUUGCACAAUGGGCGAAAGCCUGAUGCAGCAACGCCGCGUGAGGGAUGACGGCCUUCGGGUUGUAAACCUCUUUUGGCAGGGAAGAAGCGAAAGUGACGGUACCUGCAGAAAAAGCACCGGCUAACUACGUGCCAGCAGCCGCGGUAAUACGUAGGGUGCGAGCGUUGUCCGGAAUUAUUGGGCGUAAAGAGCUCGUAGGCGGUUUGUCGCGUCUGCUGUGAAAUCCCGAGGCUCAACCUCGGGCCUGCAGUGGGUACGGGCAAACUAGAGUGCAGUAGGGGAGACUGGAAUUCCUGGUGUAGCGGUGGAAUGCGCAGAUAUCAGGAGGAACACCGAUGGCGAAGGCAGGUCUCUGGGCUGUAACUGACGCUGAGGAGCGAAAGCGUGGGGAGCGAACAGGAUUAGAUACCCUGGUAGUCCACGCCGUAAACGUUGGGCGCUAGAUGUGGGGACCAUUCCACGGUUUCCGUGUCGCAGCUAACGCAUUAAGCGCCCCGCCUGGGGAGUAC